AUCAGAUUUUCCAGGAAGUAAAAUAUGAUCCUGGAAGUGUUUUCCUUAUAUUUCAUUGAUGGCUGCCCUGCCUGUCCAUCUAAAGGAUGUCAAUAAUAAUGCUGCAGAUUGCCAAUCUCUGGUUUCAACAUUGAGUGUCACUGUACUUAACGAUGGAAGUGUAAUCCAUUUGCCAACAUAUCAAGUGCACAGUCAGUACCGCCAAAGUGCAAGACUUCGCAUUCAUGUUGAGAGAGCCAAUCAACGACUCAAGACCUUUCAAUUUUAUCGGAUGUCAUGCCUUUAACUUUGAAGUCAAUCGGAAACCAAAUCUUGGGUGUAACUGCUUUUCUCUGCAACAGUGAUUCUUCACUUGUUAAAAAGUGAAAAAAUGUACAUUUUCCAUUUAAGAUUCUACAUGGGAAACAUCUGUUCUCCCUUGCAUUUUCCUUGUUUACUUGGAUAUAAUUUCUAUUGAAAUUUUAAAAAUACAUUUUUUGACUGCUGAUAGUUUCUCUACAUGUUCUAAUGUAGUGUACAAUAUUUUGAUUAUAUACAUUCUUUUACAAAAAUGGUGAUGCAAGUUAUGAAAGUAAAAGACUGUAAAACUAUAUUAACAAAUUUUUAUUACAUCUGAAAUUUUAAAAGUGGAAAAGAAAGCCAUUCAAAAUACAACAAGUUAUCACAAUCUAAGGCACGCCAAAUUCACAAAAAUGAGAUAAACAUAGUUUCACAGUCGAUAAACUAGGUUUAUCGGUUGCAAACUAUAGUUUAUGGACUGUAAA
Saccostrea cuccullata (small rock oyster) is the source of this 764-nucleotide long non-coding RNA. RefSeq lists it as uncharacterized. The record is from RefSeq and is a predicted model, not a curated record. The transcript has 2 exons. NCBI's taxonomy places the organism in Eukaryota, Metazoa, Mollusca, Bivalvia, Ostreida, Ostreidae.